This 443-nucleotide ribosomal RNA is filed under the name uncultured Methylocystaceae bacterium. RNAcentral describes it as "bacterial SSU rRNA". It matches the Rfam family "Bacterial small subunit ribosomal RNA", at positions 337 to 797 of the family's 1533-position model. The record is from RNAcentral. Lineage: Bacteria; Pseudomonadati; Pseudomonadota; Alphaproteobacteria; Hyphomicrobiales; Methylocystaceae.
GCCUACGGGUGGCAGCAGUGGGGAAUAUUGGACAAUGGGCGCAAGCCUGAUCCAGCCAUGCCGCGUGAGUGAUGACGGCCUUAGGGUUGUAAAGCUCUUUCGCCAGGGACGAUAAUGACGGUACCUGGAUAAGAAGCCCCGGCUAACUUCGUGCCAGCAGCCGCGGUAAUACGAAGGGGGCUAGCGUUGUUCGGAAUCACUGGGCGUAAAGCGCACGUAGGCGGAUCUUUAAGUCAGAGGUGAAAUCCCAAGGCUCAACCUUGGAACUGCCUUUGAUACUGGGGAUCUCGAGUUCGGGAGAGGUGAGUGGAACUGCGAGUGUAGAGGUGAAAUUCGUAGAUAUUCGCAAGAACACCAGUGGCGAAGGCGGCUCACUGGCCCGAUACUGACGCUGAGGUGCGAAAGCGUGGGGAGCAAACAGGAUUAGAUACCCCAGUAGUCUC